Molecule: long non-coding RNA, 295 nt
Organism: Daphnia pulicaria
Lineage: Eukaryota; Metazoa; Arthropoda; Branchiopoda; Diplostraca; Daphniidae
Exons: 2
Source: RefSeq, a predicted model, not a curated record
AAUGAUUGAAGAAUAUCGCGUAUAUAAGUAGAAGCUUGAACUUACAAAUCCAUUUGAAAUCAUCUUGGGUCAUUUCAAAGUCCAGCGUUCUGUUGAGUGAGGGAAGACCGGGAGAGCCCCAUCCUCUGACUGUGCCCAUGCAAAAGUAACCCCACGAUCCGACGACUGCCGCCAUCAACUGUAAAUUCAACACAAAGUUUUACUUAGGAGACUUUGUGGGGAUUCUUCAUUAUUUGCUGCUUCACCAUUUUGGUUUUUUCAGUCACUGCACAAGAAAUAAGAUUCCACUGUUAUC